UACAGAGGGUGCAAGCGUUAAUCGGAAUUACUGGGCGUAAAGCGUGCGUAGACGGUUAUUUAAGUCGGGUGUGAAAGCCCCGGGCUCAACCUGGGAAUUGCAUUCGAGACUGCAUUGCUGGAGUACGGAAGAGGAAGGCGGAAUUCCCGGUGUAGCGGUGAAAUGCGUAGAUAUCGGGAGGAACAUCAGUGGCGAAGGCGGCCUUCUGGUCCAGUACUGACACUCAAGUGCGAAAGCGUGGGGAGCAAACAGG
RNAcentral lists this ribosomal RNA (253 nucleotides) under uncultured bacterium. Its description in RNAcentral is "partial 16S ribosomal RNA". It matches the Rfam family "Bacterial small subunit ribosomal RNA", at positions 524 to 776 of the family's 1533-position model. The record is from RNAcentral.